This 324-nucleotide long non-coding RNA is filed under the name Populus trichocarpa (black cottonwood). RNAcentral describes it as "long non-coding RNA (PTRI_LNC004657)". Lineage: Eukaryota; Viridiplantae; Streptophyta; Magnoliopsida; Malpighiales; Salicaceae. The record is from RNAcentral.
GUGCGUUAUCCAGAAAAUGUUUGAGCAGUUUCUUGUCAUUACUGUGUACUGCAAUGUGAAGUACAGUGUCCUUGGUGACAGUCAACGGAAGACCUGCAGCUUCAGGAUUUUUCUCGUAGUACCUUUUCAAGCUUUCCCAAUCUUUUUUCAUGGCAGCGCGAUAGGGCUUUGUUAUUGUUGCAAUACUUCCCAUCUCUUGAUUGCAACCUCGCACGCACACUCACAGGGAGUGACUUCAGUAGUUUAGCAGCAUGUAUAACCUUCAGAAGAUGACUGUUCUUUGCUUUAUAGACGUAAAGUGCAUCCUGAUUCCGAAUCAAUAGC